RNAcentral lists this ribosomal RNA (909 nucleotides) under Amanita griseoumbonata. RNAcentral describes it as "eukaryotic LSU rRNA". It matches the Rfam family "Eukaryotic large subunit ribosomal RNA", at positions 65 to 937 of the family's 3401-position model. Lineage: Eukaryota; Fungi; Basidiomycota; Agaricomycetes; Agaricales; Amanitaceae. The record is from RNAcentral.
CUAACAAGGAUUCCCCUAGUAACUGCGAGUGAAGCGGGAAAAGCUCAAAUUUGAAAUCUGGCAGUCUUUUUUUUCUUCUUUGGCUGUCCGAGUUGUAAUCUAGAGAAGUGCUUACCUGCGCUGGACCAUGUAUAAGUCUCCUGGAAUGGAGCGUCACAGAGGGUGAGAAUCCCGUCUUUGACAUGGACUGCCAGUGUGUUGUGGUGUGCUCUCAAAGAGUCGAGUUGUUUGGGAAUGCAGCUCUAAAUGGGUGGUAAACUCCAUCUAAAGCUAAAUAUUGGCGAGAGACCGAUAGUGAACAAGUACCGUGAGGGAAAGAUGAAAAGGACUUUGGAAAGAGAGUUAAACAGUAUGUGAAAUUGUUGAAAGGGAAACGCUUGAAGUCAGUUAUGUUGGCUAGGGAUCAACCUAGCUGUUUUUUGCUGGGUGAAUUUCCUAGUCUGACAGGCCAACAUCAGUCUUGACUGCUGGAAAAGAGCAGGGGGAAUGUGGCACCUUUGGGUGUGUUAUAGCCCUUCGUCAUAUGUGGCAGUCGGGACUGAGGGAUGCAGCAUGCCGCGAGGCUGGGUUUCUGACCACGUUCAUGCUUAGGAUGUUGGCUUUUAAUGGCUUCAAUCGACCCGUCUUGAAACACGGACCAAGGAGUCUAACAUGCCUGCGAGUGUUUGGGUGGGGAAAACCCUUGUGCACAAUGAAAGUGAAAGUUGAGAUCCCUGUCAUGGGGAGCAUCGACGCCCGGACCUGAGCUUUUAGCGACGGAUCCGCGGUAGAGCAUGCAUGUUGGGACCCGAAAGAUGGUGAACUAUGCCUGAAUAGGGCAAAGCCAGAGGAAACUCUGGUGGAGGCUCGUAGCGAUUCUGACGUGCAAAUCGAUCGUCAAAUUUGGGUAUAGGGGCGAAAGACUAAUCG